GUGUAGUGGUAGUGCUGGGAAAUACGAGUGAGCGCGUUAAUCCGCUAAUGCACCACUGCCACUGUAAUAUUAGAUUCCGCGAGAUGUGGACUGCGUUGUUGAAUUUACGCGACAUUCUAUACCCAGUUAGUCGUCUGUUAUAUUAUCACUAUUGCUGAUAAUAGUGAUUACUAAACAAGAUCUGAUCUACACCCAAAACUCGACAACUCCAUUAAAUCUAUUUUAUGUACAAUAGAUAGAUUUUUAGUUGAAUUUUAUAUUUUUUGAUAACGGGGGUAGGGGGAAUAACUAAUUGUUUUAAUGGAACAUCAAUGUCACGAUGGUUAAAAAAUAUUUUCAUUUAAUGUUUUAUGGAAAAAAAACUUUUAUCGAAAUUGAGAAUAUACUGAAAAUUUUGUGUGUACGUUUUCAUGAGAUUUGUGUACCCAAGCAGCAAUGUAUGAGUCGAUUCGCUUAACGAGUUUAAUCGGUUUUAUAGAGGGGCCUUCAGGCUAUGACAACGUACGAUCGUCCAUCCGUCCGUCCGUUUGUAUACAUGGAAAAAGAGAUAACUCGGAUCAAGAUCCACUAGCGUUGCCACAGGAAAAACGUUAAUAGUAGAUUUCAAGUAAACCGAGUGCGUGAAAUCCGAGUUUAGCUUCCCGUCGUUCGUUGGCCACAGUCUUAAUGCGAUUUACCCUUUGUCCGAGAUGCCGCAGUACUCAUCAAGAGAACACUGAACACGAACUAAGGAGUCGAGAAAGGCUGGAAGAUGAUAAAUAAAGAGUAUGAAGUAAAAUAAGAGGAUGAGCGAAGUGAAAUGAUUUGAGAUGAGAAGAAAAAGUGAGCAAGAACACGUGUAAGGAAAAUUUCAGGCAGUAAUUGUUGAGCAAAACUAGAAGAAAGGUGCAGCUACAGUAUCAAAAAAAUUUCAAGUUUCACGAUACACGGAGAGAAGUGAAUAGUAUAUUCUCCAAUGUAACAUAGUAAUUAUUAGCAUGUUGCAUGGUAACGCAAGUUUUUGAGUUGUAUUUUUUAUUUGACAUAGUAAUUUGUCCGAUUUUGAAUGGUAACGCUAGCCAUGCUAGCAUGGUAAUCAUUCAUAUGCUACAUUGGAUCCAAUAAUUCGAAUUAUUCAAAUUUCGAUGAAGCUGCUUCCAACUCAAGGUAGUAAGUUUAAUAUUACAAUAAGGUUUUAGAAAUUAAAAAUUAGGUUAUUUAAUUAAUAAUAAAUAAAUUUUUAACUGAUUUAAAGAAUUUUUAAAUAAAACAAUAACUAUUAACAUUAACAUAUUUUAACAUGGGUUAGUUGUGUUAGAAAAAUAAUAUAAUAAUUUCAUUAUUUCUUGAAAAUACAUUUAAUUAAUAUUUUAUUGUAAGUAAAAUGAUUAAUAAUAAUUAUGAAUUAUUAAUGUAGAGAAAGUUAACAAUUAUCUAAAUUAAAAAUAUUAAAUCCAACGCUUUGGAAUAUACAUUUUUCCGUCUGCAGCAUUGACGAAACGUGUGGUAGAAUAACAUUUUAAAUCGGAAUACAAUAGACAAUGAUACUUGUCAAAUAAUACUUGAGUUUCGUAUGAUUGAUAGAGUUCAUUAAAAUAAUAUUCAUUGAUGUAAGUAGUAAUUAAGAUUAAUAUAUGUACAGGUUAUAUUAAACGUAUAUACUACAUAGCAGCGCUUAAUAUUAAGCUGCCUUCACGCUAUACAGCAUGGGACUCAGUACCAUUCUAGCAUGGCUUUGAUUACUGUGCUACAAAGUAAUAUUUACCAGUAGCAUGAUUACUAUGUAGUAUGGUAAAUAUUGCCAGAAGAAUGGUAAUCAUUCCCAUGGUACAUAGUGUAGAUUCCUAUGCUUUAAAAAAUAGGACUGGUUACCACGUAGAAUGGUAAUUAUUACCAUUCUCUUCUCUCCGUACAGAGCUAGAAAAUGUUUUGGAGCUAAAUUUUUGAACAUACAUAAUAUAAUGAACAGUAAUUAGGAGAUAAUUGAACAAAAUUCGGUACCAUGAUCAAAAUGAUUCUUAAAUUUUUUUUUAAUUUUUCUU
Molecule: long non-coding RNA, 2021 nt
Organism: Microplitis mediator
Lineage: Eukaryota; Metazoa; Arthropoda; Insecta; Hymenoptera; Braconidae
Exons: 4
Source: RefSeq, a predicted model, not a curated record